RNAcentral lists this ribosomal RNA (270 nucleotides) under uncultured archaeon. RNAcentral's name for it is "partial 16S ribosomal RNA". It matches the Rfam family "Archaeal small subunit ribosomal RNA", at positions 477 to 747 of the family's 1478-position model. The record is from RNAcentral.
CAGCACCUAAAGUGGUCAGGAUGAUUAUUGGGCCUAAAGCAUCCGUAGCCGGCUCUGUAAGUUUUCGGUUAAAUCUGUACGCUCAACGUACAGGCUGCCGGGAAUACUGCAGAGCUAGGGAGUGGGAGAGGUAGACGGUACUCGGUAGGAAGGGGUAAAAUCCUUUGAUCUAUUGAUGACCACCUGUGGCGAAGGCGGUCUACCAGAACACGUCCGACGGUGAGGGAUGAAAGCUGGGGGAGCAAACCGGAUUAGAUACCCGAGUAGUCC